Dermacentor albipictus is the source of this 2879-nucleotide non-coding RNA. The record is from RefSeq and is a predicted model, not a curated record. Lineage: Eukaryota; Metazoa; Arthropoda; Arachnida; Ixodida; Ixodidae.
GGGGCACCGGAGGCGGUCAGCUUGCUGUAUUCCACGGCCGCAUCCUGCAGCUAACCGGAACCGCGCGGGUGGAUGGUGGGCGAGCCGCUGUGUACGGGCGGUCGGAAGCGUUGGUCCCCCCAGAUGAGAGCCUGCAGGCGUGAGCUCUCGCUGGGGACUUCCGGCGCCCUCAGCCCAUCCAGCCAUUGCCCGCCCAGCCUACAGUUUCGGUUGGCGAGACGCCUGGCACCAGUGGCUUGCAGAGCGUUGCACGCGGUGCCGGUGGUGUGGCCGAGCAGGAUGCGGCCCAGGAGUGCCUGAGUGCUCCAGCUCCACCACAACGCCAAAGGCGCCGCCGAGUGCCGCCGGCGGGUGCCCGUGAAGCCCUCCCACGCCUAGUGGAACUGCAUACCCGGAGCAGCGAGCAGCAGCAGCAAACCAACACGGUUCGUAGAUACUAUUUCUGUGCACUGCGGAUAUAUCUCAAAAAGAGAUAGGAUGCAAAUGGAUGUAGCCGAGAAUUUUUCUUCAAUAACUUUGAAGUCCAAUAAAGAGCCAUUCUGCCUUGAAAUUAAACAAAAACAUUAUGGUGAAUCUGGGCAAAUGGAACAUAAGAACAUUUAUGGACGAAUAUUUGCUAUUUUACAAUAUUCGAUGGAGUGUCUUUCUAUUAGGUAUUUUCUUCAAAAUUAAUUCGUACCAAACAUUUACUAUUUGCACACUCCUACACAAAACCAAACCUAAGUAUGUAAGGAACUAAAUCCUCAGCAUAGUUACCAAGUACAAAUGUACAUUUUUGCAAUUAUAACAUUGCAUAUGCACGCCUUCUUCGAUCAUUGGUUGGGGUAUGUUUUGCAUGCUGGAGGGGUAUCAGGACAGAGAAUCGCCGAUACUGCACAAUCGCCCGCCAGGCAAACUGGUGCGUAGCCCUGAAAAGGGCUGUUUGGUUUCUUCUUACGAAGAGGUGCUUGGAGGUGUGAGAUGCGUUUGAGGAGGUGACAGAAAAUGAAUUCUGACACCACUAUGGUCUGUCCAAACAACGGGAAUUGGUUGUGCGCUGAACUCGGCACCAUUGACGGAUGCCGCUGGGUCAGUGGAUUUUCAGCGGAGAGGAUGUGUUUUGCACGCUGAGACUCCAUAAACAGAAGCUCCCAGCGAAGUGUCGGUAGCGAAGAAUUCCGAGGUGACAUUGGCGACAUAUUUCUUCGUUUCCAGCUGAUUGCGGAGCUCCGGGAUGCGGCCACCCGCCAGGCUGUGGCCCUCGAACAGCUGGCAACCGAGGCCAGGCUCCACAGGGAGGCUGCAGAGAGGCAGGCUACAGCCCUGGAGGCCAUCCUGCAGCAACAGGGCCAGGCUUUGCAGGAGCUGCGCAGCGUGGGGGCGCUCUCACGGGCCAUUGCAGCGGCACUGCGGCGGCCUGCACAAUAAUUUAAAAUUUUGCUAUAUUCUUUGAUCUGCAGCAAAGACUGCUGCAGUUUUUUUUUAUCUGCAGCAGAGACUGCUGCAGUUUUUUUUAUCUGCAGCAAAGACUGCUGCAGUUCUUUUUUAUCUGCAGCAAAGACUGCUGCAGUUUUUUUUAUCUGCAGCAAAGGCUGCUGCAGUUUUUUUUUUAUCUGCAGCAAAGGCUGCUGCAGUUUUUUUUAUUUGCAGCAAAGACUGCUGCAGUUUUCUUUUUUAUCUGUAGCAAAGGCUGUUGUAGUUGUUUUUUAAAUCUGCAUGCAGAUUUUUUUAAAUCUGCAGUGAAAGGUGUUGUGUAUAGUUUUAAACCUGCAGCGAAGGUUGUUGUGUAUAGUUUUAAACCUGCAGCGAAGGUUGUUGUGUAUAGUUUUAAACCUGCAGCGAAGGUUGUUGUGUAUAGUUUUAAACCUGCAGCGAAGGUUGUUGUGUAUAGUUUUAAACCUGCAGCGAAGGUUAUUGUGUAUAGUUUUAAACCUGCAGUGAAGGUUGUUGUGUAUAUGUUUAAUCAAGCACCAAAGGUUGCCUUUUUUGUAUACUUUCAAAAAUAUCGCAUUCCACAUGAGGGCACUUAAGAACUUGGACUGUGCACUAGGUUUUGUGUCGCGACUUCUGAAAUACUUGCGGGAGUUCGUUUUUGUGUAUUGCUUCGACUUUGUUGUGCUAUGUGUAUGUGUCUGUGCAGAGGAGAGGCAGGUGCCUCUUAACGUCUGUACGUAUAUUAGAAAAUGACUCUUUUUUUUCUUUUUACCUUACAGUAAGGGCAACUUUCUUUUACUCAACUAUAUUAUAUCGCGCAGUUCUGAUACAAUUUCAGUUCUAAGAUGGCGCUCAUGUCGUGCAUUUAAUUUUUUUAAGCAUGAUUCAGUAUUCCGACUUCCCGGCGUUGCAGUCCCGAUUCAAACAGGCUUUUUCGGACUACCCGCCAGUUUGUGGGGUGGUCACUUUGGCUCGGUGACAAACUCCGACACCGUGUCCCAUUCACAGUUAGGCCGCUGCUUGUGCAUAAGUGUUAGGCAACAUACUUCACAGGAAGGAUAGCAAGUUAUUGUGUGCUAAAGAGGACAACAAAGAAGCACAUGCCAUAUAUGCUUAUGUUAUGCUUCUUAUCUUAUGCAUAAAAAAUAUGCACAGUUCAUCUGGAUGGCAUUGUGUACAAGCUUGUGCAGCCAUAGGGUCAUUAAUGAAAAGAACAUGGUUUUAUUGAGAUGGGUAGCUAAUGUACAAGAUGUUAUCAUGCCAAAAAUAUUGUGCCAGACUGGAGAACAUAGUAAACUGAGUCGCAGCGUGAUGCUCUGGGGAGGAAACAGUGCAUUGUAUUGCUUGACGUUGACUUGAUAAUAAGUGACUAAUAAAUUCACCGUGGCUAAUGAGCCCACGCCAAUAGUGUGUUUGUAAACUUUGGCAUACCGACAGCAUUCGUUUCACUUUCUUUUCCCACCUGU